CCUAAACUCUCAGACUCAUCUCUGUCAGUCUAGGAAGACUGAGAAAACCUGACUUAAUCACCUCCUUGUGACUCACUGCACCGUGCCCCUUCCUUUUGAACACAUAUAAAUCCUAAUUAUUUUUUAAUCCUUCACUAGAACACCAGCAAAAUGAUGGCUACACUCGCAGCAUACAAAUGUGGACGUGUGCAGGAACCAAAGCCAGGGCUUCAGGGGCUCUCCUGCCUGGGGAGUUGCAUGUUGCCAGGGGGACUCGGCACAAGGGACCUCUGCCUCUCCAGCAGAAUUUUAAGAAAAAUCAAGCAGCCCAAUCACACAUCUGUAAAAAAUAAUUCAGUGCUAAAAGGAAGAUUUCACAGCUUAUCCAUACAAGAUACUAGCGGAAGAGAAAUACAUGGAACUACAGAGAAGGGUAAUAAACAGCUGACCAGCAGAUAUUUGGUUACACGUACUGCAAUGACAGCUGAAGGCAGCAUCACUCCACAAGCUGCAUGUGAGAGAGGCCAGCGACGGCUCCGCAGAGCCCUGCCCCACACCAGAGCUGCUGGAGCAGCGCUGAGCAGUCCUUAUCCUGCACAGCCCCAGGACCUCCCUCAGUGUGGGGCUGAACAGUGA
RNAcentral lists this long non-coding RNA (615 nucleotides) under Anas platyrhynchos platyrhynchos (common mallard). RNAcentral describes it as "lncRNA (ENSAPLG00000024569.1)". Lineage: Eukaryota; Metazoa; Chordata; Aves; Anseriformes; Anatidae. The record is from RNAcentral.